This is a transfer RNA of Felis catus (domestic cat), 85 nucleotides long. It matches the Rfam family "tRNA". From Rfam's summary of the family: Transfer RNA (tRNA) molecules are approximately 80 nucleotides in length. Their secondary structure includes four short double-helical elements and three loops (D, anti-codon, and T loops). The record is from Rfam. Lineage: Eukaryota; Metazoa; Chordata; Mammalia; Carnivora; Felidae.
GCCCGGGUGGCUCAGUCGGUUGAGCGUCUGACUUCAGCUCAGGUCAUGAUCUCAUGGUUCGUGAGUUCAAGCCCCGCGCUGGGCU